This 63-nucleotide transfer RNA is filed under the name Rattus norvegicus (Norway rat). It matches the Rfam family "tRNA", at positions 1 to 62 of the family's 71-position model. From Rfam's summary of the family: Transfer RNA (tRNA) molecules are approximately 80 nucleotides in length. Their secondary structure includes four short double-helical elements and three loops (D, anti-codon, and T loops). Lineage: Eukaryota; Metazoa; Chordata; Mammalia; Rodentia; Muridae. The record is from Rfam by way of RNAcentral.
GGGGAUUUAGCUCAGUGGUAGAGCACUUGCCUAGCAAGCACAGGGCCAUGGGUUCAGUCCCCA